UGUCCAGUGGUGAAAAACUUCUAAUCAUGCCAUCUUUUGGGACUGAUCAGUCGCUAUGCGGCUAUGCUGUUAUUCUGCAAUUCUAAAGCCA
Small nucleolar RNA from Lolium rigidum, 91 nucleotides. RefSeq annotates it as small nucleolar RNA SNORD96 family. NCBI's taxonomy places the organism in Eukaryota, Viridiplantae, Streptophyta, Magnoliopsida, Poales, Poaceae. The transcript has a single exon. The record is from RefSeq and is a predicted model, not a curated record.